This 68-nucleotide transfer RNA is filed under the name Catopsilia pomona (lemon migrant). Its description in RNAcentral is "tRNA-Asp". Lineage: Eukaryota; Metazoa; Arthropoda; Insecta; Lepidoptera; Pieridae. The record is from RNAcentral.
AAAGAAUUAGUUAAUUUAUAGCAUGAAAUAUGUCCAAAUUUAAGUUAUUACUUUAGUGAUAUUCUUUU